RNAcentral lists this ribosomal RNA (253 nucleotides) under uncultured bacterium. RNAcentral describes it as "partial 16S ribosomal RNA". It matches the Rfam family "Bacterial small subunit ribosomal RNA", at positions 524 to 776 of the family's 1533-position model. The record is from RNAcentral.
GACGGAGGGGGCUAGCGUUGUUCGGAAUUACUGGGCGUAAAGAGCACGUAGGCGGCGGUGCAAGUUGGGGGUGAAAUCCCAGGGCUCAACCCUGGAAUUGCCUCCAAAACUGUGCUGCUUGAGUUCGGAAGAGGAGAGUGGAAUUCCCAGUGUAGAGGUGAAAUUCGUAGAUAUUGGGAAGAACACCAGUGGCGAAGGCGGCCACCUGGACAGUAACUGACGCUGAGGCGCGAAAGCGUGGGUAGCAAACAGG